Molecule: unclassified non-coding RNA, 612 nt
Filed under: Hevea brasiliensis (rubber tree)
Lineage: Eukaryota; Viridiplantae; Streptophyta; Magnoliopsida; Malpighiales; Euphorbiaceae
Source: RNAcentral
UGAAAUUCACAGUUUUGAAUCCAGAAGGUCGUAUUUGGACCAUGGUGGCUGGAGGAGGUGCUAGUGUCAUUUAUGCAGAUACAGUCGGGGAUCUGGGCUAUGCUUCUGAACUGGGGAAUUAUGCAGAAUACAGUGGAGCACCGAAAGAAGGUGAAGUGUUGCAGUAUGCAAGAGUUCUUAUUGAUUGUGCAACUGCAAAUCCUGAUGGCCGCAAACGCGCCCUUCUAGUUGGUGGAGGGAUUGCCAACUUUACUGAUGUUGCUGCAACUUUUAGUGGCAUCAUCCGAGCUUUGAGAGAGAAGGAAUCAAAACUGAAAGCUGCAAGGAUGCAUGUAUUUGUGAGGAGAGGAGGUCCAAACUACAAAACUGGUCUAGAGAAAAUGCGUCGUCUUGGAGAAGAAAUUGGCAUCCCUCUUGAGGUUUACGGUCCGGAGGCUACCAUGACAGGCAUUUGCAAGCAAGCGAUUGAGUGCAUCACUGCUGCGGCAUAAACUUAGGAUUUGACUACUUUCGUACUUUGAUCAUGUCUUGUCAGGUAUUCCUCUGUGCAUUAGUGCAUCCUUGCGUAAGGAAGAAAGACUACCGAGUAGGGAGAAUGUUGUUAAUCAGAAU